This 236-nucleotide long non-coding RNA is filed under the name Mytilus galloprovincialis (Mediterranean mussel). Lineage: Eukaryota; Metazoa; Mollusca; Bivalvia; Mytilida; Mytilidae. The record is from RNAcentral.
GUCAUAUAUGCUACUUAUUUAUAUACAAUGUUUUGCUAAGUAAGCAUACCCAUACUUGGAUGAUGGUCAAAUUGAAGCGUUUAAGUAAUGAGGGGUGAAGCCGGACCAUGCAUACAUUUUCUGCUCAGUUUAGAUCAAAUUUUGGUGGCCAAGGUGUUUUUGAGAUUAUACCAAUUUGUACAAAAAUAUGGAGAAUAAUUCAAAUAUUGGUCAAAUUCAGUCUGCCUCCUAGUUUA